AUUUGUUUCUUUUCUUCUUUUUU
RNAcentral lists this small RNA (23 nucleotides) under Arabidopsis thaliana (thale cress). RNAcentral describes it as "ATSL069870". The record is from RNAcentral. Lineage: Eukaryota; Viridiplantae; Streptophyta; Magnoliopsida; Brassicales; Brassicaceae.